GUGGGGAAUUUUGGACAAUGGGCGCAAGCCUGAUCCAGCAAUGCCGCGUGCAGGAAGAAGGCCUUCGGGUUGUAAACUGCUUUUGUACGGAACGAAACGGUCCUGGCUAAUAUCCGGGGCUAAUGACGGUACCGUAAGAAUAAGCACCGGCUAACUACGUGCCAGCAGCCGCGGUAAUACGUAGGGUGCAAGCGUUAAUCGGAAUUACUGGGCGUAAAGCGUGCGCAGGCGGUGCUGUAAGACAGGCGUGAAAUCCCCGGGCUUAACCUGGGAAUUGCGCUUGUGACUGCAAGGCUGGAGUGCGGCAGAGGGGGAUGGAAUUCCGCGUGUAGCAGUGAAAUGCGUAGAUAUGCGGAGGAACACCGAUGGCGAAGGCAAUCCCCUGGGCCUGCACUGACGCUCAUGCACGAAAGCGUGGGGAGCAAACAGGAUUAGAAACCCUAGUAGUCC
RNAcentral lists this ribosomal RNA (450 nucleotides) under uncultured bacterium. RNAcentral describes it as "partial 16S ribosomal RNA". It matches the Rfam family "Bacterial small subunit ribosomal RNA", at positions 354 to 796 of the family's 1533-position model. The record is from RNAcentral.